GUCUCCUUCCUCUGUCCUCAUAUGAUCUUCCCUCUGUGUGUGUCUGUGUCCUAAUCUCUUUUUUUACUAUUUAUUUUUAUCUGUUUAUUUGGCUGCACCAGGUCUUAGCUGCAGCACAUGAGACCUUUUCGUUGUGGCGUGUAGGAUCUGGCUCUCUAACCAAGGAUUGAACCCAGUCCCCCUGCACUGGGAGCGCAGUCUUAGCCACUGCACCACCAGGCAAGUCCUCUAAUCUCUUCUUAAAAAGACUCUGUUCAUAUCGGAUUAGGGCCUACCUUAAAGACCUCAUUUAACCUAAAUUACGUCUUUCUAAAAAAAGUUAUUUAUUUUUAAUUGACAGAUAAUUGCUUCACAAUAUUGUGUUGGUUUCUGCCAUACAUGAACAUGAAUCAAGCCAAAUUACCUCCUUAAAGAUCCCAUUUCCAAAUAGAAUCAUUUUCUGACCUACCAGGUGUUAAGGCAUCAGCAUAUCAAUGUUGGAGGACACAAAUCAGCUCAUUACACUUGGGAACCUCUGGACUCAGCCACUCUAGACCAGCCUGGGAUUGAAUUCCUGAGAAGAAAGGGGUACAAAUGCCUCGUUUCCCUUCGACCACAUGCUGCAAAUGAGUCCUCUCCAAAUCAUCUAAUUUCCUGCUGGGGCUUUCACUGAUGCAGUUUUAUAAUCAAGUUUUACAAUCAAGCCUAUGAUAGCUUAAUAACAGAAGGUGAGGGCUCUUCCUUCUUUAUCUAUACUCUGGAACAGAACUGCUUCCUUGGUAGAAAAAGUUAAAAGUUUGGUAGAACUUGGUGAAACCAUCUGGGCCUGCUGCUGCUGGGAGAAG
RNAcentral lists this long non-coding RNA (824 nucleotides) under Bos indicus x Bos taurus (hybrid cattle). RNAcentral describes it as "lncRNA (ENSBIXG00000001083.1)". Lineage: Eukaryota; Metazoa; Chordata; Mammalia; Artiodactyla; Bovidae. The record is from RNAcentral.